RNAcentral lists this ribosomal RNA (429 nucleotides) under Bacteroidota bacterium. RNAcentral's name for it is "Bacteroidetes bacterium partial 16S ribosomal RNA". It matches the Rfam family "Bacterial small subunit ribosomal RNA", at positions 355 to 776 of the family's 1533-position model. Lineage: Bacteria; Pseudomonadati; Bacteroidota. The record is from RNAcentral.
UAGGGAAUCUUCCGCAAUGGACGCAAGUCUGACGGAGCAACGCCGCGUGAGUGAAGAAGGAUUUCGGUUCGUAAAACUCUGUUGUUAGAGAAGAACAGCGCAUAGAGUAACUGUUAUGCGUGUGACGGUAUCUAACCAGAAAGCCACGGCUAACUACGUGCCAGCAGCCGCGGUAAUACGUAGGUGGCAAGCGUUGUCCGGAUUUAUUGGGCGUAAAGCGAGCGCAGGCGGUCAAUUAAGUCUGAUGUGAAAGCCCCCGGCUCAACCGGGGAGGGUCAUUGGAAACUGUUUAACUUGAGUGCAGAAGGGGAGAGUGGAAUUCCAUGUGUAGCGGUGAAAUGCGUAGAUAUAUGGGGGAACACCGGUGGCGAAAGCGGCUCUCUGGUCUGUAACUGACGCUGAGGCUCGAAAGCGUGGGGAGCGAACAGG